GAUAAACGCUGGCGGCGUGCUUCAGGCAUGCAAGUCGAACGGGUGUCAGCCUUCGGGUUGGCACUAGUGGCGGACGGGUGAGUAACACGUAAGCAAUCUGCCCGGUAGUGGGAAUAACUGGCCGAAGGCUGGCUAAUACCGCAUGUGAUGGUUCGUCCCUCGGAUGGAUCAUGAAAGGACGCAAGCCGCUACCGGAGGAGCUUGCGGUCGAUUAGCUAGUUGGNGAGGUAA
RNAcentral lists this ribosomal RNA (231 nucleotides) under uncultured bacterium. RNAcentral's name for it is "partial 16S ribosomal RNA". It matches the Rfam family "Bacterial small subunit ribosomal RNA", at positions 28 to 260 of the family's 1533-position model. The record is from RNAcentral.